GUCCACCUGACGGCGCAAGACGGGACACAGUGGCUUGAGUCAGCCCCGGCUACUGCUACCCUGCCCGAUAUCCCCCAGCAUGCACCGCGGUGGCAGGUCGACUCGCCACAAACUUUCCAUAAACAGAGCUAUGAACAUGUGUCACACCGGUUUCUACACAUAGUACAAGAGCUUGUGCCUCUCACCAACCCAAACAUCAGCAUGGUAUGAGUCUUCUCUCUACACUAAGGAACCAGAUGCACCAAACCCAAAGCCUGGAGACAAAGGUCCAGCGCUGACGGUGCGGAGGGG
Long non-coding RNA from Betta splendens (Siamese fighting fish), 291 nucleotides. RefSeq lists it as uncharacterized. The record is from RefSeq and is a predicted model, not a curated record. The transcript has 3 exons. NCBI's taxonomy places the organism in Eukaryota, Metazoa, Chordata, Actinopteri, Anabantiformes, Osphronemidae.